CUAUCAUUAACUGAAUCCAUAGGUUAAUGAGGCGAACCGGGGGAACUGAAACAUCUAAGUACCCCGAGGAAAAGAAAUCAACCGAGAUUCCCCCAGUAGCGGCGAGCGAACGGGGAGCAGCCCAGAGCCUGAAUCAGUGUGUGUGUUAGUGGAAGCGUCUGGAAAGGCGCGCGAUACAGGGUGACAGCCCCGUACACAAAAAUGCACAUGCUGUGAGCUCGAUGAGUAGGGCGGGACACGUGGUAUCCUGUCUGAAUAUGGGGGGACCAUCCUCCAAGGCUAAAUACUCCUGACUGACCGAUAGUGAACCAGUACCGUGAGGGAAAGGCGAAAAGAACCCCGGCGAGGGGAGUGAAAAAGAACCUGAAACCGUGUACGUACAAGCAGUGGGAGCACGCUUAGGCGUGUGACUGCGUACCUUUUGUAUAAUGGGUCAGCGACUUAUAUUCUGUAGCAAGGUUAACCGAAUAGGGGAGCCGAAGGGAAACCGAGUCUUAACUGGGCGUUAAGUUGCAGGGUAUAGACCCGAAACCCGGUGAUCUAGCCAUGGGCAGGUUGAAGGUUGGGUAACACUAACUGGAGGACCGAACCGACUAAUGUUGAAAAAUUAGCGGAUGACUUGUGGCUGGGGGUGAAAGGCCAAUCAAACCGGGAGAUAGCUGGUUCUCCCCGAAAGCUAUUUAGGUAGCGCCUCGUGAAUUCAUCUCCGGGGGUAGAGCACUGUUUCGGCAAGGGGGUCAUCCCGACUUACCAACCCGAUGCAAACUGCGAAUACCGGAGAAUGUUAUCACGGGAGACACACGGCGGGUGCUAACGUCCGUCGUGAAGAGGGAAACAACCCAGACCGCCAGCUAAGGUCCCAAAGUCAUGGUUAAGUGGGAAACGAUGUGGGAAGGCCCAGACAGCCAGGAUGUUGGCUUAGAAGCAGCCAUCAUUUAAAGAAAGCGUAAUAGCUCACUGGUCGAGUCGGCCUGCGCGGAAGAUGUAACGGGGCUAAACCAUGCACCGAAGCUGCGGCAGCGACGCUUAUGCGUUGUUGGGUAGGGGAGCGUUCUGUAAGCCUGCGAAGGUGUGCUGUGAGGCAUGCUGGAGGUAUCAGAAGUGCGAAUGCUGACAUAAGUAACGAUAAAGCGGGUGAAAAGCCCGCUCGCCGGAAGACCAAGGGUUCCUGUCCAACGUUAAUCGGGGCAGGGUGAGUCGACCCCUAAGGCGAGGCCGAAAGGCGUAGUCGAUGGGAAACAGGUUAAUAUUCCUGUACUUGGUGUUACUGCGAAGGGGGGACGGAGAAGGCUAUGUUGGCCGGGCGACGGUUGUCCCGGUUUAAGCGUGUAGGCUGGUUUUCCAGGCAAAUCCGGAAAAUCAAGGCUGAGGCGUGAUGACGAGGCACUACGGUGCUGAAGCAACAAAUGCCCUGCUUCCAGGAAAAGCCUCUAAGCAUCAGGUAACAUCAAAUCGUACCCCAAACCGACACAGGUGGUCAGGUAGAGAAUACCAAGGCGCUUGAGAGAACUCGGGUGAAGGAACUAGGCAAAAUGGUGCCGUAACUUCGGGAGAAGGCACGCUGAUAUGUAGGUGAAGUCCCUCGCGGAUGGAGCUGAAAUCAGUCGAAGAUACCAGCUGGCUGCAACUGUUUAUUAAAAACACAGCACUGUGCAAACACGAAAGUGGACGUAUACGGUGUGACGCCUGCCCGGUGCCGGAAGGUUAAUUGAUGGGGUCAGCGCAAGCGAAGCUCUUGAUCGAAGCCCCGGUAAACGGCGGCCGUAACUAUAACGGUCCUAAGGUAGCGAAAUUCCUUGUCGGGUAAGUUCCGACCUGCACGAAUGGCGUAAUGAUGGCCAGGCUGUCUCCACCCGAGACUCAGUGAAAUUGAACUCGCUGUGAAGAUGCAGUGUACCCGCGGCAAGACGGAAAGACCCCGUGAACCUUUACUAUAGCUUGACACUGAACAUUGAGCCUUGAUGUGUAGGAUAGGUGGGAGGCUUUGAAGUGUGGACGCCAGUCUGCAUGGAGCCGACCUUGAAAUACCACCCUUUAAUGUUUGAUGUUCUAACGUUGACCCGUAAUCCGGGUUGCGGACAGUGUCUGGUGGGUAGUUUGACUGGGGCGGUCUCCUCCUAAAGAGUAACGGAGGAGCACGAAGGUUGGCUAAUCCUGGUCGGACAUCAGGAGGUUAGUGCAAUGGCAUAAGCCAGCUUGACUGCGAGCGUGACGGCGCGAGCAGGUGCGAAAGCAGGUCAUAGUGAUCCGGUGGUUCUGAAUGGAAGGGCCAUCGCUCAACGGAUAAAAGGUACUCCGGGGAUAACAGGCUGAUACCGCCCAAGAGUUCAUAUCGACGGCGGUGUUUGGCACCUCGAUGUCGGCUCAUCACAUCCUGGGGCUGAAGUAGGUCCCAAGGGUAUGGCUGUUCGCCAUUUAAAGUGGUACGCGAGCUGGGUUUAGAACGUCGUGAGACAGUUCGGUCCCUAUCUGCCGUGGGCGCUGGAGAACUGAGGGGGGCUGCUCCUAGUACGAGAGGACCGGAGUGGACGCAUCACUGGUGUUCGGGUUGUCAUGCCAAUGGCACUGCCCGGUAGCUAAAUGCGGAAGAGAUAAGUGCUGAAAGCAUCUAAGCACGAAACUUGCCCCGAGAUGAGUUCUCCCUGACUCCUUGAGAGUCCUGAAGGAACGUUGAAGACGACGACGUUGAUAGGCCGGGUGUGUAAGCGCAGCGAUGCGUUGAGCUAACCGGUACUAAUGAACCGUGAGGCUUAACC
RNAcentral lists this ribosomal RNA (2756 nucleotides) under Escherichia coli. RNAcentral's name for it is "bacterial LSU rRNA". It matches the Rfam family "Bacterial large subunit ribosomal RNA". Lineage: Bacteria; Pseudomonadati; Pseudomonadota; Gammaproteobacteria; Enterobacterales; Enterobacteriaceae. The record is from RNAcentral.